Oncorhynchus tshawytscha (Chinook salmon) is the source of this 3571-nucleotide long non-coding RNA. The record is from Ensembl. Lineage: Eukaryota; Metazoa; Chordata; Actinopteri; Salmoniformes; Salmonidae.
CAACGGGGAGGUCCCAGAGUACGAUAACUUUGUACUGAAUAGUCUUUGGUUCUAUCUAACAAUAGGAUGCCAACUCAUAUCCAGUCUCUUUGGUGUGGUGUGUAUUGAUGAAAAGGCUUCUGGAUACUUACCUCUGAGACCACUUUGCCAGCCAGAGCCUUGAAUGCUGAAGAGGACGGGUUGGCAAGAUCCGAGGUGAAUAUCUCAUCGAGACUGAACCGAAGAAUCAGGGUUCCUUCACUAGAAGAUGGAGGGUUAGUUAGUGCGACUGCAGUGGUGGUUGCUGAUGGAACAGCGGUGGUGGUGGUUGCUGACGGAACAGCGGUGGUGGUGGUUGCUGCCGGAACAGCGGUGGUGGUGGUUGCUGCCGGAACAGCGGUGGUGGUGGUUGCUGCCGGAACAGCGGUGGUGGUGGUUUUGGCCACUGCCGGAGGGGUCGUGGUGACAUCUGCAGUUGGAGCAGCAGUUGUUGCAGCGGAGGUGGUUGCAUUAGUCAUUGUAGUAGCGCCUGAAAAAUGCAACAUUCAAUGCAAUGUUUACAUUUUGCAAUUAAUAUUUUUUUUUUUUGAAAUAUUGGUCACAUACACGUGUUUAGCAGAUGUUACUGCGUGUGUAGCGAAAUGUUUGUGCUUCUGGUUCUGACAGUGCAGCAAUAUCUAACAAUUAAUAUCUAAAAAUUCCACAACAUAUUCCGAAAACACACAAAUCUAAGCAACGAAUGGAUUUAAGAAUAUAUAAAUAUAUGGGAGAGCAAUAUCAGAGUGGCAUAGACUAAGAAAACAGUAUAAUAUUAUAGAAUACCUUAAUAAACAUAUGAGAUGAAGUGCCUGAUCAGUUGUGUUUUGGGAUCUCAGGACAGAAUAAUAACAACAUAACUGUAUAUUUGAAUGUAUAUAUUUCCCAGUUGUCAGGGUCAUACCCAAAUUUUGGGGAACUGAUAUGAUUAAAAUUGAAACCAUUUGUGAGAAGAUGUAAUGUGAUUUUAGACUUCUUAACCAAGUCAGUGUAAGCACAGACAUUACGACAAAAGGAGGGAACACCCCUUUUCCCCCGAGUGCAUAAAACCCACUCGUGAGAAUGUACAAUUAGUCAAGAAAACGCAGGGACGGGAGUCCCCACGUUGAAAUGGCAACUACUCUAUAGAACAAGCAGACGGACAGUGUUGAACCGGACGUUGCGAAUGGUUAGGAAAUCUACAAAACUAAAGAUGCACACAUUCACAGUCUGCAACUGUAUAUGUGAAAUAGUCUAGGAAACUCGACCGAAGACGAGAGGAGAACAUUUCACAAUCAAACGACCGAAUUGUACUCUGAAAGAUCCAUUCUGGAGAACAUUUCCCUAUAGAACAACCAGUGGUACAUCUGACGUAUCCAUUGUAACAGAGCUACAACUAAGAAAGACUUUGAUCUCUGGUGGACACAGCCAGAGAAUUUCUGUCGACCGACUCUCCAGCAGACAGACCGAAGAUUUCGUCAAAGAGACAACAAGACAUACAGGCGUGAAUAUAUAUAUUGCAAUUCUUUUCAAAUGAGCGGCUGUUCAUGUGAAAAGUAUUAUCAUUUCAAUUAGCCUUUUUAUCAACUGUGUGUAGUGGGUCCCAUUAUGUCUUUCCCACUCUUUAUCUGUCCCCACCCCUGUCCAUUGUCUACCAAGCCGUCAUAUCGGUUUAGUCCACUAGGGACCCUUUAUUGCAUUGUUUUCGUAACCAAGAAGCAAGACGUCGGCGUCCGCAACAUGGCUGGUUUUCCUUUUGUUUCCUCUGGUUUUCCUUUUGUAGUCCAUGAUUGUCUGUAGACCCUGCCACAUACGCCGUUGAAUUGAGCCAUUGAAUUGUGAAUCCACUGUCUCUAUACUGACGUUUUGCCUGUUUGAUUGCCUUGUCGGAGGGAAUGACUACUCUGUUUGUAUUCUUCCAUAUUCCCAGUCACCUUCCAUGUUUAAAUGCGGUGGUUCGUGUUUUCUGUUUUACGCGAAUAGUGCCAUCUAUCCACGGUCUCUGGUUAGGGUUGGUUUUAAUAGUCACAGUGGGUACAAAAUUCCUAUACACUUCCUGAUAAACUCAGUUAUCGUUUUAGUUCGUCCAUAUUAUUCUUGGAAGCUACCCGGAAUAUAUCCCAAAACAGUCUUGAAGCAUGGAUUCCAAUUGGUCAGACCAGCAUUGAAUAGUGCUCAGCACGGGUAUUAACAGUUUGAGUUUCUGCCUAUAGGAAGGGAGCAGAAAAAUGGAGUUAUGGUCAGAUUUGCCGAAAGGAGGGCGGGGGAGGGACUGGUAUGCAUCCCGGAUGUUUGUAGUAACAGUGGUCUAGUGUUUUAGCAGCAUGAGUACAACAGUCAAAUUGCUGAUAGAAUUUAGGCAGCCUUUUUCUCAAAUUUGCUUCGUUCAAAUCUCCAGCUAAAAUAAAUGCAUCUUCAAGAUAUAUGGUUUCCAGUUUGCAUAAAGUCCAGUGAAGUUCCUUGAGGGCCAUCGUGGUAUCAGCUUGAGGGGGGAUAUACAUUUGAUUGUGAGGUAUUCUAGGUCAGGUGAACAAAAGGACUUGUAUGUUCCUCUAUGUUAUCACAAUUACAUAAUUUGUUGUUAAUCAUCAAACAUACAUCUCCUUCUUCCCAGCGAGAUGUUAAUUACUGUCGGUGCGAUGAACUGAUAAUGCAGAUUGCCUGACCAACUCCGACAGUAUAUCCCGAGAGAGCCAUGUUUCCGUGAAACAGAGUAUGUUGCAAUCCGUGAUGUCUCUCUGGAAAGAAACCCUUGCCCUAAUCUCGUCAACGUUGUUAAUCAGGGACUGAACAUUAGCAAAUAAUAUACUCUGGAGAGGUGUGUCAUGUGCGUGCCUUCUAAGAUGGACUAGAAGAACUCUCCGAGGACCCCUUUUUCACCGGCGUUGUUUUGGGUCAGCCUCUGGAAUCAGUUCAAUUGCCCUCGGUGGUGCAAACAAAGGAUCUGCUUGGGGAAAGUCGUAUUGCUGGUCGUAUGCUGGUAGUGCUGGUGAGUUACCGUCGCUCUGAUAUCUAAUAGUGCUUCCCAGCUGUAAUAAAUAACACGUACAUUUUCUGGGCUAACAAUGUGAGAAAAAAUACUGAAAAAAAAUUAACACUGCAAAGUUUCCUAAGAACGAGAAGCGAGGCAGCCCUAUCUUUCGGCGCCAUCUAGUGUUUUGAGUGUGUGAGAAUAGGUAAAGCGAUGUGUUGAUGAAUUGUCUUACGUGUGACCACAAUGGAGGAUGAAUUGAUAGGUAAUGUCAGGCCAGACGUGUUGGAAGUAAUGGCAGUUUGUAAGGUUUGUGCUACCAGGCUAUCGUUAGGCACUGAGCUGAUGUUGUUGAAUAUCAAUGUAGACUCCACCACAAUUGACCCUGACCUGAAAAUGAUAUGAGAAAUGUUAAGAACUUUUACAAGCGUUACUUCAGUAACAACCCACUCCCAAGGCAUACUAAAUAACAAUACUCAUUGAAAUGUUAUUUUUCUCCAUCAUCCACACUGUUUCAAAGUAUUUCAGAUGAUAAUCAUUUACCCACCUGAAACUAUUGACAACAGUUCGAAGGAAUCUGACUCCAAAUAGAGCCUUGAACAAAUU